Molecule: ribosomal RNA, 433 nt
Filed under: uncultured bacterium
Lineage: Bacteria
Description: partial 16S ribosomal RNA
Rfam family: Bacterial small subunit ribosomal RNA
Source: RNAcentral
GGGGGGGGGGGGGGGGGGGGGGGGGGGGGGGGGGGGGGGGGAGGGCUGCGGUCGGGGGGGCGGGCGGGGGGGGGGCGCGGGGGGAGGUGGCCUGUGGUGGGGGAUGGCGCUGGGGAACGGGGGGGAAUGCCGGAGGGGACCUGUGGGGGGAAGGUUUGUCGGCGCAGGAUCGGCCCGCGUUGGGUUAGGUAGUUGGGGGGGUGAUUGUCGACCAAGCCGACGGGCCCUAGCUGGGUUGAGAGGAUGAUCAGGCACACUGGGACUGAGACACGGCCCAGACUCCUACGGGAGGCAGCAGUGGGGAAUCUUAGACAAUGGGGGAAACCCUGAUCUAGCCACGCCGCGUGAGCGAUGAAGGCCUUAGGGUUGUAAAGCUCUUUCAGCUGGGAAGAUAAUGACGGUACCAGCAGAAGAAGCCCCGGCUAACUCCGUG